RNAcentral lists this ribosomal RNA (492 nucleotides) under uncultured bacterium. RNAcentral describes it as "partial 16S ribosomal RNA". It matches the Rfam family "Bacterial small subunit ribosomal RNA", at positions 30 to 507 of the family's 1533-position model. The record is from RNAcentral.
AUUGAACGCUGGCGGCAUGCUUUACACAUGCAAGUCGAACGGUAAUAGGCCUUCGGGUGCUGACGAGUGGCGAACGGGUGCGUAAUGCAUCGGAACGUGCCCAGAGGUGGGGGAUAACGCAGCGAAAGCUGUGCUAAUACCGCAUGUGAUCUGAGGAUGAAAGCGGGGGACCAGGCAGCAAUGUUUGGCCUCGCGCCUUUGGAGUGGCCGAUGUCAGAUUAGGUAGUUGGUGGGGUAAAGGCCUACCAAGCCGACGAUCUGUAGCUGGUCUGAGAGGACGACCAGCCACACUGGGACUGAGACACGGCCCAGACUCCUACGGGAGGCAGCAGUGGGGAAUUUUGGACAAUGGGCGCAAGCCUGAUCCAGCAAUGCCGCGUGCGGGAAGAAGGCCUUCGGGUUGUAAACCGCUUUUGUACGGAACGAAAAGGCUCUGGCUAAUACCUGGGGCUGAUGACGGUACCGUAAGAAUAAGCACCGGCUAACUACGUG